UGACCGCAGCUUGGAGAGGAUUGUCAGGAAAAGGCCAUUCAAAUGGUUUGGGGACUUUCACAAGGAGUGAACUGAGGCUGGAGUCAGUGCAUCAAGAGCCCCCACACACAGACGGAUCCUGGACAUGGGCUUCAGAUGUUGUAUUCCUUUUGUCAAGCUGCUCCUGAACAACAAACAACGUCAGAAGCGUCUUACCUGGGCUAAAGAAAAACAGACAUGGUCUGUUGCUCAGUGAUCCAAAGUCCUCUUUUCUGAUGAGAGCAACUUUUGCAUCUCAUUUGGAAACCAAGGACCCAGAGUCUGGAGGAAGAAUGGAGAGGCACACAUUGCAAGAUGCUUGAAGUCCAGUGUGAAGUUUCCACAGUCUGUGUUGAUUUAGGGAGCCAUGUCAUCUGCUGGUGUUGGUCCACUGUGCUUCAUUAAGUCCAGGGUCAACGCAGCCGUCUACCUGGAGAUUUUGGAGCACUUCAUGCUUCCUUCCGCAGAUGAGCUUUAUGGGGAUGCUGACUUCAUUUUCCAGCAGGACUUGGCACCC
This is a non-coding RNA of Pelobates cultripes (western spadefoot toad), 535 nucleotides long. The record is from the annotation of a GenBank genome assembly. Lineage: Eukaryota; Metazoa; Chordata; Amphibia; Anura; Pelobatidae.